Molecule: non-coding RNA, 115 nt
Organism: Triticum aestivum (bread wheat)
Lineage: Eukaryota; Viridiplantae; Streptophyta; Magnoliopsida; Poales; Poaceae
Source: Rfam
AAUGUACUCCCUCCGUUCGAAAAUACUUGUCUCGAAAAUGGAUGUAUCUAGAACUAAAAUAUGUCUAGAUACAUCCAUUUCUGCGACAAAUAAUUCCGAACGGAGGGAGUACGUA